AAACUAGGAUUAGAUACCCUAUUAUUUUAAGUUUAUUUUUAAAGUAGUAAAUUAUGUUUUUUAAACUUAAUUUUUCUGGCGGUUCACUACUCUAACAGGAGGAGCUUGUCAAAUUAGAUUGAUAACCCGCUUUUAUUUUCACCAUUGGUUUAUCUUAUGUACGGCUGUUAAGCUUUAAGAUUUAGCUUAUUGUUUUAACUUUUAAAAGCUUAGUUCAGGUCAAUGUGUAGACUAUGCUGUGGAUUUUAAUGAGCUACUUUUAUUAGUUUUAGUAUUUGUCUUCUUUUUAAAUUGGAUUUGUUAGUAAAGCUGAAAUAAAACUUUAGCUUGGUGUAGACUUUUGGUGGAAGUACAUAUCGCCCGUCACUCUUUUGAUAGAUAAGUCGUAACAUAGUA
This 396-nucleotide ribosomal RNA is filed under the name Cheyletus malaccensis. RNAcentral's name for it is "partial 12S ribosomal RNA". The record is from RNAcentral. Lineage: Eukaryota; Metazoa; Arthropoda; Arachnida; Trombidiformes; Cheyletidae.